RNAcentral lists this long non-coding RNA (632 nucleotides) under Homo sapiens (human). RNAcentral's name for it is "non-protein coding lnc-MECR-1:3". Lineage: Eukaryota; Metazoa; Chordata; Mammalia; Primates; Hominidae. The record is from RNAcentral.
GUCUGUUAUGUUCUGAACCCACACAUGUUUUCGGAAGGACCAGAUGGCUGACACUGGCUAAUGGGAACCAAAAGACGAGUGAAAGUAACCUGGUUGUCACAUACCCCCAGCUUAGAGGUGCUUCACCCUGCCCCAAGGUGGGGAAAGAUCAAGUGCAGACUGAGCUGUGGCCAACGUUUGCAGACCAGGAAUCCACACUAGCUCUAAUCAGAGAGCCCUUGGUGUGCGGGAACUGCCAGUUUGCCGACGUGAAAAGAGUCCCAGACUGGGUAAUGGUGAGCCCUGAAGUCGCACCCCAGCUCUGCCACUCAGUGAGCACGGCAACAUCCCUAAUCCUGACCAGCCAUGGAGAGGUUCGGUUCUUACAAGGAAAAUGAGUGAAUGUGGGAAUGGCUCACCACAUUGUGAAAACAAAACUCACAUCCUGCUGAUGGUUGGCUGAGGACUGUCAUGUCCACAUACAAAGAAAAGCAUGUGGCACAGUUUUAGGACAAAGAUAUGGUUUUGUGGAGUUUGAUGAUCUGCGUGAUGCAGAUGAUGCUGUUUAUGAACUGAAUGGCAAAGACCUUUGUGGUGAGCGAGUAAUUGUUGAGCAUGCCCGCGGCCCACGGCGAGAUGGCAGUUACGGUUCU